AUUGAACGCUGGCGGCAGGCCUAACACAUGCAAGUCGAGCGAGCGGCGGACGGGUGAGUAAUGUCUGGGAAACUGCCUGAUGGAGGGGGAUAACUACUGGAAACGGUAGCUAAUACCGCAUACCAUCAGAUGUGGCCAAAUGGGAUUAGCUAGUAGGUGGGGUAACGGCGCACACAGGAGACGAUCCCUAGCUGGUCUGAGAGGAUGAACAACCACACUGGAGCUGAGACACGGUCCAGACUCCUACGGGAGGCAGCAGUGGGGAAUAUUGCACAAUGGGCGCAAGCCUAAUGCAGCCAUGCCGCGUGUUUGAAGAAGGCCUUCGGGUUGUAAAGCACUUUCAGCGGUGAGGCGUUACCCGCAGAAGAAGCACCGGCUAACUCCGUGCCAGCAGCCGCGGUAAUUC
This 406-nucleotide ribosomal RNA is filed under the name uncultured bacterium. RNAcentral describes it as "partial 16S ribosomal RNA". It matches the Rfam family "Bacterial small subunit ribosomal RNA", at positions 30 to 526 of the family's 1533-position model. The record is from RNAcentral.